GAAUUACUGGGCGUAAAGCGUGCGCAGGCGGUUCGUUGUGUCCGAUGUGAAAGCCCCGGGCUUAACCUGGGAAUGGCAUUGGAAACUGGCGAGCUUGAGUGUGGCAGAGGGGGGUGGAACUCCUGGUGUAGCAGUGAAAUGCGUAGAGAUCAGGAAGAACACCGAUGGCGAAGGCAGCCCCCUGGGCUAACACUGACGCUCAGGCACGACAGCGUGGGGAGCAAACAGGAUUAGAUACCCUGGUAGUCCACGCCCUAAACGAUGUCAACUGGGUGUCGGGGAAGCGAUUUCUCGGUACCGUAGCUAACGCGUGAAGUUGACCGCCUGGGGAGUACGGCCGCAAGGUUAAAACUCAAAGGAAUUGACGGGGACCCGCACAAGCGGUGGAUGAUGUGGAUUAAUUCGAUGCAACGCGAACAACCUUACCUACCCUUGACAUGUCUGGAAGCCUGCUGAAAGGCGGGUGUGCUCGAAAGAGAACCGGAACACAGGUGCUGCAUGGC
RNAcentral lists this ribosomal RNA (503 nucleotides) under uncultured beta proteobacterium. Its description in RNAcentral is "bacterial SSU rRNA". It matches the Rfam family "Bacterial small subunit ribosomal RNA", at positions 548 to 1049 of the family's 1533-position model. The record is from RNAcentral. Lineage: Bacteria; Pseudomonadati; Pseudomonadota; Betaproteobacteria.